RNAcentral lists this non-coding RNA (31 nucleotides) under Homo sapiens (human). Lineage: Eukaryota; Metazoa; Chordata; Mammalia; Primates; Hominidae. The record is from RNAcentral.
UNUGGGCUUAUCAGGAACAAGCGUCAGAUGC